GGAGUUAGCCGGUGCUUCUUCUGUGAGUGAUGUCCUUCCUGCCGGCUAUUAACCCGCAGGCCUUCUUCCUCACUGAAAGUGCUUUACAACCCGAAGGCCUUCUUCACACACGCGGCAUGGCUGGAUCAGGGUUGCCCCCAUUGUCCAAUAUUCCCCACUGCUGCCUCCCGUAGGAGUCUGGGCCGUGUCUCAGUCCCAGUGUGGCUGAUCAUCCUCUCAGACCAGCUACGGAUCGUCGCCUUGGUGAGCCGUUACCUCACCAACCAGCUAAUCCGACAUAGGCUCAUCCGAUAGCGCGAGGCCCGAAGGUCCCCCGCUUUCCCCCGUAGGGCGUAUGCGGUAUUAGCCUGGGUUUCCCCAGGUUAUCCCCCACUACCGGGCAGAUUCCUAUGCAUUACUCACCCGUCCGCCGAUCGCCACCAGGGAGCAAGCUCCCCGUGCUGCCGCUCGACUUGCAUGUGUUAGGCCUGCCGCCAGCGUUCAAUCUGAGCCAGNGACACACUCGACAGUAGCGGCGGCGUCGACGACGGCGACAG
Molecule: ribosomal RNA, 536 nt
Filed under: uncultured bacterium
Lineage: Bacteria
Description: partial 16S ribosomal RNA
Source: RNAcentral